Molecule: ribosomal RNA, 259 nt
Filed under: Helicotheca tamesis
Lineage: Eukaryota; Bacillariophyta; Thalassiosirophyceae; Lithodesmiales; Lithodesmiaceae
Description: partial Bacterial large subunit ribosomal RNA
Rfam family: Bacterial large subunit ribosomal RNA
Source: RNAcentral
CGUUCUAUGUGUGGAGAAGGUGUACCGUGAGGAGCGCUGGAACGCAUAGAAGUGAGAAUGCCGGUAUGAGUAGCGAAAGACAGGUGAGAAUCCUGUCCACCGUAAGACUAAGGUUUCCAGGGGAAGGCUCGUCCGCCCUGGGUUAGUCGGGACCUAAGGAGAGACCGAAAGGUGUAUCCGAUGGACAACAGGUUGAUAUUCCUGUACUAGAGUAUGUAGUGAUGGAGGGACGCAGUAGGCUAAUAAAGCAGACGAUUGG